This 409-nucleotide ribosomal RNA is filed under the name bacterium. RNAcentral describes it as "partial 16S ribosomal RNA". It matches the Rfam family "Bacterial small subunit ribosomal RNA", at positions 355 to 776 of the family's 1533-position model. The record is from RNAcentral.
UGGGGAAUAUUGCACAAUGGGCGAAAGCCUGAUGCAGCGACGCCGCGUGAGGGAUGACGGCCUUCGGGUUGUAAACCUCUUUCAGUAGGGACGAAGCGCAAGUGACGGUACCUGCAGAAGAAGCACCGGCUAACUACGUGCCAGCAGCCGCGGUAAUACGUAGGGUGCGAGCGUUGUCCGGAAUUACUGGGCGUAAAGAGCUCGUAGGCGGUUUGUCACGUCGUCUGGUAAAUCCUAGGGCUUACCCCUGGACGUGCAGGCGAUACGGGAUGACUUGAGUACUACAGGGAAGACUGGAAUUUCUGGUGUAGCGGUGGAAUGCACAGAUGUCAGGAAGAACACCGAUGGCGAAGGCAGGUCUCUGGGUAGUAACUGACGCUGAGGAGCGAAAGCAUGGGUAGCGAACAGG